Cinara cedri is the source of this 220-nucleotide non-coding RNA. The record is from the annotation of a GenBank genome assembly. Lineage: Eukaryota; Metazoa; Arthropoda; Insecta; Hemiptera; Aphididae.
CACCAAUCAAAAAAUGACCAUAGAAUUUUUAUGUUGCCUUUUAGGUCUUAUUGUAUAGUUGGACAGUCGUGUUUUUGUAUUACAACCAGUUUUUGUAGGAAUAGAAAAAAAUUUUUUUUUUUUUUAUACCCUAAGUUAUAGUAAACUAAUAACAUGCACAUUUAAAGACAAAAUAACAGUCGAUUAAAAUAUUAACAUUAACACCUAAUAAGCGACGUUU